RNAcentral lists this transfer RNA (68 nucleotides) under Cryptocercus hirtus. RNAcentral's name for it is "tRNA-Leu". Lineage: Eukaryota; Metazoa; Arthropoda; Insecta; Blattodea; Cryptocercidae. The record is from RNAcentral.
ACUAUUUUGGCAGAUAAGUGUGGUUGAUUUAGAAUCUUUUUAUGUAGAUUAAUUUUCUAUGAAUAGUA